CCUACGGGUGGCAGCAGCAAGGAAUCUUCCGCAAUGGGCGCAAGCCUGACGGAGCAACGCCGCGUGGGGGAGGACGCCCUUCGGGGUGUAAACCCCUUUUCCCGGGGACGAAGUACUGACGGUACCCGGGGAAGAAGGACCGGCUAACUACGUGCCAGCAGCCGCGGUAAUACGUAGGGUCCGAGCGUUGUCCGGAGUUACUGGGCGUAAAGCGCGCGCAGGCGGCGGCGCUGGCCUGGCGUGAAAGCCCCCGGCUCAACCGGGGAAUGGCGUCG
Molecule: ribosomal RNA, 275 nt
Filed under: uncultured bacterium
Lineage: Bacteria
Description: partial 16S ribosomal RNA
Rfam family: Bacterial small subunit ribosomal RNA
Source: RNAcentral